RNAcentral lists this ribosomal RNA (526 nucleotides) under uncultured eukaryote. Its description in RNAcentral is "bacterial SSU rRNA". It matches the Rfam family "Eukaryotic small subunit ribosomal RNA", at positions 76 to 576 of the family's 1831-position model. The record is from RNAcentral.
GAUUGACAAAACUGCGAACGGCUCAUUAAAACAGUUACGAUUGCUUUGAAGGGCAAAUUCUACACGGAUAACCGUGGGAAACCAAGGCUAAUACGUGCGUACGAUCCUUUCGGGUCAGCGUUUAUUAGAUAAAGAACCAACAUUUUGGUGCUUCAUGGUAACCAUUCGAAUCGCGGCUCGCUGCGAUGGUUCAUUCAAGUUUCUGACCUAUCAGCUCUCGACGGUCGGGUAGUGGCCCACCGUGGCUUUGACGGGUGACGGGGAAUUGGGGUUCGAUUCCGGAGAGGGAGCCUGAGAAACGGCUACCACGUCUAAGGAUGGCAGCAGGCGCGUAAAUUACCCAAUCCCGACUUGGGGAGGUAGUGACGUCUAAGGAUGGCAGCAGGCGCGUAAAUUACCCAAUCCCGACUUGGGGAGGUAGUGACAAGAAAUAGCAACUCGAGGCAUAUGUCUUGUGAUUGCAAUGAGUAGAAUCUAAACGGUUCUACGAUUAACAAUUAGAGGGCAAGUCUGGUGCCAGCAGCCG